AUUGAACGCUGGCGGCAUGCUUUACACAUGCAAGUCGAACGGCAGCGCGGGCUUCGGCUUGGCGGCGAGUGGCGAACGGGUGAGUAAUGCAUCGGAACGUGAGGAGUAGUGGGGGAUAGCCCGGCGAAAGCCGGAUUAAUACCGCAUACGACCUGAGGGUGAAAGCGGGGGACCGAAAGGCCUCGCGCUAUUGGAGCGGCCGAUGUCGGAUUAGCUAGUUGGUGGGGUAAAGGCUUACCAAGGCGACGAUCCGUAGCUGGUCUGAGAGGACGACCAGCCACACUGGGACUGAGACACGGCCCAGACUCCUACGGGAGGCAGCAGUGGGGAAUUUUGGACAAUGGGGGCAACCCUGAUCCAGCCAUGCCGCGUGCGGGAAGAAGGCCUUCGGGUUGUAAACCGCUUUUGUUCGGGAAGAAAUCCUCUGGGCUAAUACCCCGGGGGGAUGACGGUACCGGAAGAAUAAGCACCGGCUAACUACGUG
Molecule: ribosomal RNA, 484 nt
Filed under: uncultured bacterium
Lineage: Bacteria
Description: partial 16S ribosomal RNA
Rfam family: Bacterial small subunit ribosomal RNA
Source: RNAcentral